GAAAAGAAUCAGGAAUGUGAGGAAGCAAUGAAGGCUUUGAAGGAAAAGUUGGACACAUCUAAGAGCAAAUAUAAUAAGGUUGGAGUUUCAUUUAAGGACUCAUGUGCCUAGGGAUCCAAUGAGGAGACCUCUAAGACGGAGGCCAUCAGGUCCCAUGACACUCUACAACCUGAGUUGAUCGCCUCUAAGGUCUGCAUCAAGAAAUUGGAGGAAGGGAUUGUGGAUGAGUUUGACCACAAGUUUGUUAUGC
This 250-nucleotide long non-coding RNA is filed under the name Cicer arietinum (chickpea). Its description in RNAcentral is "long non-coding RNA (CARI_LNC000258)". The record is from RNAcentral. Lineage: Eukaryota; Viridiplantae; Streptophyta; Magnoliopsida; Fabales; Fabaceae.